CGCCUGUUUAUCAAAAACAUGUCUUGUAGUUUUUUUUAUAAGUCUAUCCUGCUCAAUGAAGUGAUUUUUAAAUAGCCGCAGUAUUUUAACUGUGCUAAGGUAGCAUAAUAAUUAGUCUUUUAAUUAAAGUCUUGAAUGAAUGGUUGGGUGAAAAAAUUUCUUUAUUAGUUUUAUUAAUUGAAAUUUAUUUUUAAUUUAAAAAGAUUAAUUGUUUAAAAGGGGCACGAUAAGACCCUAUAGAUCUUUAAAAUUUUUUAUAUAUUUAUUUUUUUGUUGUUUUUAAUAAAUUUUUAAAUAGAUUUUUUUAUUGGGGUGAUAAUCAAAAAUUUUAACUUUAAUUUAUUUUAACAUUAAUUUAUGAUUUUUUUGAUCCUUAUUUUUGGAGAAAAAGAACAAGAUACCUUAGGGAUAACAGCGUUAUAAAUUUGGAGAGUUCUAAUCAAUAAAUUUGUUUGCGACCUCGAUGUUGGAUUAACUUAAUUUUGUGGGGUAGG
Molecule: ribosomal RNA, 494 nt
Filed under: Aphelonema histrionica
Lineage: Eukaryota; Metazoa; Arthropoda; Insecta; Hemiptera; Caliscelidae
Description: partial 16S ribosomal RNA
Source: RNAcentral